RNAcentral lists this ribosomal RNA (1372 nucleotides) under uncultured bacterium. RNAcentral's name for it is "bacterial SSU rRNA". It matches the Rfam family "Bacterial small subunit ribosomal RNA", at positions 28 to 1381 of the family's 1533-position model. The record is from RNAcentral.
GAUGAACGCUGGCGGCGUGCCUAAUACAUGCAAGUCGAGCGAACGGACGAGAAGCUUGCUUCUCUGAUGUUAGCGGCGGACGGGUGAGUAACACGUGGAUAACCUACCUAUAAGACUGGGAUAACUUCGGGAAACCGGAGCUAAUACCGGAUAAUAUUUUGAACCGCAUGGUUCAAAAGUGAAAGACGGUCUUGCUGUCACUUAUAGAUGGAUCCGCGCUGCAUUAGCUAGUUGGUAAGGUAACGGCUUACCAAGGCAACGAUGCAUAGCCGACCUGAGAGGGUGAUCGGCCACACUGGAACUGAGACACGGUCCAGACUCCUACGGGAGGCAGCAGUAGGGAAUCUUCCGCAAUGGGCGAAAGCCUGACGGAGCAACGCCGCGUGAGUGAUGAAGGUCUUCGGAUCGUAAAACUCUGUUAUUAGGGAAGAACAUAUGUGUAAGUAACUGUGCACAUCUUGACGGUACCUAAUCAGAAAGCCACGGCUAACUACGUGCCAGCAGCCGCGGUAAUACGUAGGUGGCAAGCGUUAUCCGGAAUUAUUGGGCGUAAAGCGCGCGUAGGCGGUUUUUUAAGUCUGAUGUGAAAGCCCACGGCUCAACCGUGGAGGGUCAUUGGAAACUGGAAAACUUGAGUGCAGAAGAGGAAAGUGGAAUUCCAUGUGUAGCGGUGAAAUGCGCAGAGAUAUGGAGGAACACCAGUGGCGAAGGCGACUUUCUGGUCUGUAACUGACGCUGAUGUGCGAAAGCGUGGGGAUCAAACAGGAUUAGAUACCCUGGUAGUCCACGCCGUAAACGAUGAGUGCUAAGUGUUAGGGGGUUUCCGCCCCUUAGUGCUGCAGCUAACGCAUUAAGCACUCCGCCUGGGGAGUACGACCGCAAGGUUGAAACUCAAAGGAAUUGACGGGGACCCGCACAAGCGGUGGAGCAUGUGGUUUAAUUCGAAGCAACGCGAAGAACCUUACCAAAUCUUGACAUCCUUUGACAACUCUAGAGAUAGAGCCUUCCCCUUCGGGGGACAAAGUGACAGGUGGUGCAUGGUUGUCGUCAGCUCGUGUCGUGAGAUGUUGGGUUAAGUCCCGCAACGAGCGCAACCCUUAAGCUUAGUUGCCAUCAUUAAGUUGGGCACUCUAAGUUGACUGCCGGUGACAAACCGGAGGAAGGUGGGGAUGACGUCAAAUCAUCAUGCCCCUUAUGAUUUGGGCUACACACGUGUUACAAUGGACAAUACAAAGGGCAGCGAAACCGCGAGGUCAAGCAAAUCCCAUAAAGUUGUUCUCAGUUCGGAUUGUAGUCUGCAACUCGACUACAUGAAGCUGGAAUCGCUAGUAAUCGUAGAUCAGCAUGCUACGGUGAAUACGUUCCCGGGUCU